GCUACGUACAUUGGAGAAGCCAAAAAUAUAUAUGUUGAAUCCGGGCAAAAUACGUUUGCAGUCAUGGCGCCUGCAAUAAGGCACUCAAGCAUUCCGAGAUCUUGCAAGCAGUACAGGCGUUCGCCAACACCUUGAACCCAGGAAUCUAAGCCAUGGGACCAGCUAUCGCACUCCAGCGUGCGAAUGGACAGCGGGGGAAACAAAGUUAUUGCUGGAUUAUGAGCAGUAUUUUCCCCGGGUUGGUCCCAUGAAGAAAUUCCAACAUGAAAAGGAAAUAUUUGCCCGCAUAGCUGCAAAUCUCCAUCAAACAAUGGGGAUAACGAGGACCGGAGAGCAAUGCUGCAGUCGCUACAAAACUAUAGUUAGGCGCAAGACGGCUGUUACAAGCCAAAAUAAGAAAUCGGGAAAUUCUCCCUGCGAGAUGCCAUAUGAGGGAGGAACUGGCAUAGAUGAGCGCUCAGCAUGACAGCAUCAAGCCAGAAGAGCUAAGGGAUGGCUACGGCAUCAUUUCAAGAAAAGAGAUUAGCACUGUGUCCAACAAAAAAGGAAGUUGGUCAGGGGAGACAGAUGAGAUACAGGACAGAUGCCAGAUUGAUGACAAUUCGCAAAGCUCGCAGAGCACAGAGUGCAUCGACAGGGCACAUGACUGACGCUGAUGUACAAAGGACAAUAUCCUCUCGUCUGUCCACUUCCAGAUUGCAAGAAAUUAAAAUUUUUUUUAAAGAAAUGACGCAGCUUCAAGCGCAGACGGAUGCACAGAGAGCAGUACGGCACGAGGAGAGAAAAAAGCAGUUAGAGGAAAGCCGGAAAGAGGUCGAGGCAGGACAAGGAGAAAAUGGCACUGCUCAGCCAUGCCCCUAGCUUUGCUUUGGAUGACGAGCGCUAAGUGAAAAAGAACAUGAAUAAUGACACCGGAGAUUCCGGACACAGUGGAGAAAUUACCCGUUACAGUACGUGUACAAUGGAUACGUCGCAAUGCACAUCCCACACAAGCCUUAGUGGAUGCAGCGAGCCAUAAGAAAACUUCUCGUCCACUUCAAUUGGCCCCCACCUCUCCGGAGACAAGGCUCCUCACAGAAAAAGAACACCUUCGGCGCGCCGCGCGGGCACUUCUCCCACUGUGUUGCACUGACCUCCCUGGCGGCCUAGCGCGCUGGGAAGAGUUCUUGUUACGAAGGUUACGCCCCCGAGUCGCCCUCCCCCCUGCAUUAACCUAGUUGCGGUCAGCCCUGUACCGUGCCUCCAUCAGCGAUUCCUGCCCCUUCUGUCCCGCUCCUGUCUGCGAGGUGGGCAAUGGGCACCUCCUCUGGACUUGCCCUUCUCUACAUGCCCUCCGCCAGAAACACCUGCUUCGAUGUGGACCACCCCUAGUUCGGCCGCCAGAUGUAGACAGUUGGAUCUUGGGGCCCCACCACUGGACAUUGCUGGACUUCCUCCGAGAUUCCGGCGUGUGCACGUUUACAUAUUUCUUUAUGCCAGAAGGCACG
Dermacentor andersoni is the source of this 1487-nucleotide non-coding RNA. The record is from RefSeq and is a predicted model, not a curated record. Lineage: Eukaryota; Metazoa; Arthropoda; Arachnida; Ixodida; Ixodidae.